Molecule: long non-coding RNA, 379 nt
Filed under: Felis catus (domestic cat)
Lineage: Eukaryota; Metazoa; Chordata; Mammalia; Carnivora; Felidae
Description: lncRNA (ENSFCAG00000048834.1)
Source: RNAcentral
AUAAAUGCUUACCAAAUUACCCCUACUCUGAGACACUUUUAAGAAUCUUGAAUUAACAGCUUCUACUUCUUUUGGUUUGGCUGGAAAAUCUAUCUUCUACAUUUUCUCAUCUACCAUAUUACUUCAUUACUACCAGCAUGCUUGGACAGACCUAUUAAUAGGGCAGAAAUGUUGAGCCAAAGGAAGACUGUGCAGAAUAUUUCCCGAAUAGUUUAUACUUUUCCUGUUAGUUCAUGUUGAGUGUAUUGGGUCUGUAUUGUGGUUUCAUACAAACUGGGCUGAUGAUUAUUUAAGAUAUUUUCAUCAUUCUUUCUGAGUUAUAGAACCACUUUUUUUCCCCCAAAAUAAAAUUUCAAUUGCAGUCUUUGGUGUGUAAUCA